Long non-coding RNA from Clupea harengus (Atlantic herring), 555 nucleotides. The record is from Ensembl. NCBI's taxonomy places the organism in Eukaryota, Metazoa, Chordata, Actinopteri, Clupeiformes, Clupeidae.
CUGAUCACAGCAGUGGACCAUAUCCCUGUGAUAGCUGCUGUUGUUGGAGUGGCAGUCUGUGGAGUUGUGGGUCUCCUCUGUGUCAUAUACUGGCUGAGAUUACAUAAGGGGACCACCAGCAGGGGACCACAGAGAGGAGACACAGAGGGUCAGGAUGAUGUUCAGUACUCAAAUGUUAACUUCCAGAGGUCUGGUCAGAGCAGAGCUGCUGGUCCCUCCACUGCUGAGACUGCAGAGGAUGAUGUUCAGUACUCCACCAUCCAGCCCCACGGCUCCAGAGAGACUGCAGGAGCUCAGGGGGACGACGUCCACUACGCCAGCGUCCACUUCAAGAAAGAUGCUGCUGCAAAAAGAUCAUCUGCUUUGCUCAUGUGUUCCUGCAGUUCCCCUGACCAGCCAGAGGGGGAGCCCUCUGUGAUCUACAGCAGUGUUCAGAAGAGAGUGUGAAGAAAACAAUAUGAAGAGCCAGCCAUGAGCAAACACAGUGAAGGGGAUGCCAUCAGAUCUUUAUCUUAUGCAGUGCUGAAUCUGUAGUCCUAUAGUUCAGAUCUUUAU